GUGAGGAAUAUUGGUCAAUGGGCGGGAGCCUGAACCAGCCAAGUAGCGUGAAGGAAGAAGGAUCUAUGGUUCGUAAACUUCUUUUGCAGGGGAAUAAAGUGCGGGACGUGUCCUGUUUUGUAUGUACCCUGAGAAUAAGGAUCGGCUAACUCCGUGUCAGCAGCCGCGGUAAUACGGAGGAUCCGCGCGUUAUCCGGCUUUAUUGGGUUUAAAGGGUGCGUAGGUGGUUUGAUAAGUCAGCGGUGAAAGUUUGCAGCUUAACUGUAAAAAUGCCGUUGAAACUGUCGGACUUGAGUGGAAAUGAAGUAGGCGGAAUGCGUGGUGUAGCGGUGAAAUGCAUAGAUAUCACGCAGAACUCCGAUUGCGAAGGCAGCUUACUAAGCUACAACUGACACUGAAGCACGAAAGCGUGGGGAUCAAACAGGAUUAGAAACCCGUGUAGUCC
This 445-nucleotide ribosomal RNA is filed under the name uncultured bacterium. RNAcentral's name for it is "partial 16S ribosomal RNA". It matches the Rfam family "Bacterial small subunit ribosomal RNA", at positions 354 to 796 of the family's 1533-position model. The record is from RNAcentral.